This 442-nucleotide ribosomal RNA is filed under the name uncultured bacterium. Its description in RNAcentral is "partial 16S ribosomal RNA". It matches the Rfam family "Bacterial small subunit ribosomal RNA", at positions 338 to 795 of the family's 1533-position model. The record is from RNAcentral.
CCUACGGGCGGCAGCAGUAGGGAAUUUUUCACAAUGGGCGAAAGCCUGAUGGAGCAACGCCGCGUGCAGGAUGAAGGCCUUCGGGUUGUAAACUGCUUUUAUAAGCGAGAAAUAUGAUGGUAAGUUAUGAAUAAGGAUCGGCUAACUACGUGCCAGCAGCCGCGGUCAUACGUAGGAUCCGAGCAUUAUCCGGAGUGACUGGGUGUAAAGAGUUGCGUAGGUGGCAUAAUAAGUAGCUAGUGAAAUCGGGUGGCUCAACCAUUCAGACUAUUAGCUAAACUGUUAAGCUCGAGACCGUUAGGGGUAACUGGAAUUUCUAGUGUAGGAGUGAAAUCCGUAGAUAUUAGAAGGAACACCAAUAGCGUAGGCAGGUUACUGGGACGGUUCUGACACUAAGGCACGAAAGCGUAGGGAGCAAACGGGAUUAGAUACCCCAGUAGUC